CACUCCUGCGGGAGGCAGCAGUGGGGAAUAUUGGACAAUGGGCGCAAGCCUGAUCCAGCCAUGCCGCGUGAGUGAUGAAGGCCCUAGGGUUGUAAAGCUCUUUCACCGGUGAAGAUAAUGACGGUAACCGGAGAAGAAGCCCCGGCUAACUUCGUGCCAGCAGCCGCGGUAAUACGAAGGGGGCUAGCGUUGUUCGGAUUUACUGGGCGUAAAGCGCACGUAGGCGGACUAUUAAGUCAGGGGUGAAAUCCCGGGGCUCAACCCCGGAACUGCCUUUGAUACUGGUAGUCUUGAGUUCGAGAGAGGUGAGUGGAAUUCCGAGUGUAGAGGUGAAAUUCGUAGAUAUUCGGAGGAACACCAGUGGCGAAGGCGGCUCACUGGCUCGAUACUGACGCUGAGGUGCGAAAGCGUGGGGAGCAAACAGGAUUAGAAACCCGAGUAGUCCCAUG
This 449-nucleotide ribosomal RNA is filed under the name uncultured organism. Its description in RNAcentral is "partial 16S ribosomal RNA". It matches the Rfam family "Bacterial small subunit ribosomal RNA", at positions 334 to 799 of the family's 1533-position model. The record is from RNAcentral.